This 253-nucleotide ribosomal RNA is filed under the name uncultured bacterium. RNAcentral's name for it is "partial 16S ribosomal RNA". It matches the Rfam family "Bacterial small subunit ribosomal RNA", at positions 524 to 776 of the family's 1533-position model. The record is from RNAcentral.
UACGGAGGGCGCAAGCGUUGUUCGGAAUCACUGGGCGUAAAGCGCGUGUAGGCGGCUUUGCAAGUCGGGUGUGAAAUCCCGAGGCUCAACCUCGGAACUGCGCUCGAUACUGCUUGGCUCGAGUCCCGGAGAGGGUGGCGGAAUUCCCGGUGUAGGGGUGAAAUCCGUAGAUAUCGGGAGGAACACCAGUGGCGAAGGCGGCCACCUGGACGGUGACUGACGCUGAGACGCGACAGCGUGGGGAGCAAACAGG